UGAGCACCGUGGAGCAUGCAAGCCCUUGC
Molecule: non-coding RNA, 29 nt
Filed under: Rattus norvegicus (Norway rat)
Lineage: Eukaryota; Metazoa; Chordata; Mammalia; Rodentia; Muridae
Source: RNAcentral